GGUGAACGCUGGCGGUGCGCCUAAUACAUGCAAGUCGAACGAGACCUUUUCUGGAUUUAUUCAAAAAAGUGACAGUGGCGGACGAGCGAGUAACACGUAAGCAUCUGCCCCAUACUCAGGGAUAACUGGUCGAAAGAUCAGCUAAUACCGGAUAGCCUCGAAAGAGUAAAGAUUUUUCGGUAUGGGAGGAGCUUGCGGCUUAUCAGUUAGUUGGUGGGGUAAAAGCCUACCAAGACUAUGACGAGUAGCUGGUGUGAGAGCAUGACCAGCCGCGAUGGGACUGAGACACGGCCCAUACUCCUACGGGAGGCAGCAGUAAGGAAUCUUCCGCAAUGGGCGAAAGCCUGACGGAGCGACACCGCGUGGUGGAUGACGGCCUAUGGGUUGUAAACACCUUUUCUCAGGGAAGAAGAUCUGACGGUACCUGAGGAAUAAGCCCCGGCUAAUUACG
Molecule: ribosomal RNA, 451 nt
Filed under: uncultured bacterium
Lineage: Bacteria
Description: bacterial SSU rRNA
Rfam family: Bacterial small subunit ribosomal RNA
Source: RNAcentral